RNAcentral lists this ribosomal RNA (447 nucleotides) under uncultured bacterium. RNAcentral describes it as "bacterial SSU rRNA". It matches the Rfam family "Bacterial small subunit ribosomal RNA", at positions 355 to 825 of the family's 1533-position model. The record is from RNAcentral.
UGGGGAAUAUUGGACAAUGGGCGCAAGCCUGAUCCAGCCAUGCCGCGUGAGUGAUGAAGGCCCUAGGGUUGUAAAACUCUUUUGUGCGGGAAGAUAAUGACGGUACCGCAAGAAUAAGCCCCGGCUAACUUCGUGCCAGCAGCCGCGGUAAUACGAAGGGGGCUAGCGUUGCUCGGAAUCACUGGGCGUAAAGGGUGCGUAGGCGGGUCUUUAAGUCAGGGGUGAAAUCCUGGAGCUCAACUCCAGAACUGCCUUUGAUACUGAAGAUCUUGAGUUCGGGAGAGGUGAGUGGAACUGCGAGUGUAGAGGUGAAAUUCGUAGAUAUUCGCAAGAACACCAGUGGCGAAGGCGGCUCACUGGCCCGAUACUGACGCUGAGGCACGAAAGCGUGGGGAGCAAACAGGAUUAGAUACCCACGUAGUCCCUGAGCGGGCUGGCAAGGCGCAU